AUUGAACGCUGGCGGCAUGCUUUACACAUGCAAGUCGAACGGCAGCACGGGUGCUUGCAUCUGGUGGCGAGUGGCGGACGGGUGAGUAAUGCAUCGGAACGUGUCCUGAAGUGGGGGAUAACGCAUCGAAAGAUGUGCUAAUACCGCAUAUUCUCUGAGGAGGAAAGUAGGGGAUCGAAAGACCUUAUGCUUUUUGGAGCGGCCGAUGUCUGAUUAGCUAGUUGGUAGGGUAAUGGCUUACCAAGGCGACGAUCAGUAGUUGGUCUGAGAGGACGACCAGCCACACUGGGACUGAGACACGGCCCAGACUCCUACGGGAGGCAGCAGUGGGGAAUUUUGGACAAUGGGCGCAAGCCUGAUCCAGCAAUGCCGCGUGAGUGAAGAAGGCC
RNAcentral lists this ribosomal RNA (389 nucleotides) under uncultured bacterium. RNAcentral describes it as "bacterial SSU rRNA". It matches the Rfam family "Bacterial small subunit ribosomal RNA", at positions 30 to 416 of the family's 1533-position model. The record is from RNAcentral.